UAAACUCGUCAGUAUCUCUGCUCUCUAACUGACCCGUCAAACACUGAAGAGAACAUGGAAGUCUGGUUUUGGAAUCUAGCAACAGAGAAGCUCGAAAAUAAAUACAGCCAAAGGAAAAAACACUAAAAAAUGGAGACUGGAGAAGGAAGGACGUUCAGGGAGAAACCACAGGCAGACCCGGGUGGAGUCGUAAUGACUGAGGCAGAGCACACGAGGAACAAGAAGAAGAGCGUGCCAAUGUCGGAGCUGCCAGAGGAAGCUCAGAGACUGAAGAGGGCAGCCUGGAGAGCAGCUUCCAGACGAUAUUAUGCUCGAAAGAUAGCUCGCCAGCAGGCAAACCCAUCACAAUCCAGCCCCUUCCCCCACAUCGCAAACUCUCAGAAUUCACAGCCCAGCUCUUUUGUGGAUAAGAGGAGGAGGACACUGAUAUCGGAGCUACCUGAAGAGUCUCAGACGCUGCAGAGAGAAGCUUGGAGAGCCGCAUCCAGGAGGUACUACGCUAGAAAAAUCGCUCGGCACCAGACGGAGACGACACAGUACAGAAACCUGCUGGAGAACAUAAACCCAUCUGGAGACACGCAGGGACCCAACAGGGAAGGACCUCACAUGAACACUGGAGGAAUAAUGUGCAGCUGAUAGACAGAAGUUUUACAUUUUAAAUGUUUCUGUUCAGCAGAUUGGAGGGUCCUUUUUACUGCGGUAUGAAGAAUAAUGAAAUCUGACUGUUUGUGUUUUGGUGGCUUUGAAUUAAUAAUGAUGGGAAUUGUCUCAGGUCUGAAUAACAUGAACCUGGUGUUUCAAAUGAGUCAUCUGUGCAUUUCCUCAGUUCAUGACCUCUUGAUGAUGUGUUAGGCAGCAGGUUUAAUCAGAAUCCUAGUACUAGUACCAGCAAAAUUGAACCUUUCACAUAUCACACAUUUCAAAAAUAUAUCAAACUAAAAAAAGAAAUAUUGGGAGAAAUUGUCUUGAUGUUCUAUAAAAUUAAAAGUUGAUCUCGCUCCUGUCAUCCUUCUGUCUCCAGGAAUUUUUGGUGGAGUCAUCCAGUGUCAGACUGUUUUUGAAGUUAACCUUCAUGAGAUCAACUCUACAUUCUGAUUUGUCUCCCUUCAUGUCAGCAAUAUUUGCAUGUACAAAACUUUUACUGGAAAAGAGCCUGAAUAAAUGUAUCAUGAGGCAAUAUGCAUAAAUCCAUGGCACUAACUAACAUGGCAGUACAGCGCCCCUGGAGAGUAACAUCUGUAACUACAGCGUGAGUGCAUCCAUAGUGGCUACAUUUUUAGCUCCACAUCUUUGAUUUCAGUGUCGGGUAAAGAAUUAUUAUUUCAGACAAUGCUGGUAAACUUUAAAGUGUAUUUUUGGACUUUGUCAAAUAUUAAAAACUGUCUUUCCCCUUCCCGUUGAAAUGAACUCCCAUCAGUUUCUGGGUUACACUUCAGUAUUUGAAGCCAGCAAGCAGGGUGAACACAGAAAUGUUAAAAUAUCUCAUUUUGCAGUAAAUGUGUACAAUAAAACAAAGUGACAACG
Molecule: long non-coding RNA, 1524 nt
Organism: Oreochromis aureus
Lineage: Eukaryota; Metazoa; Chordata; Actinopteri; Cichliformes; Cichlidae
Source: Ensembl